Molecule: long non-coding RNA, 1142 nt
Organism: Capra hircus (goat)
Lineage: Eukaryota; Metazoa; Chordata; Mammalia; Artiodactyla; Bovidae
Exons: 3
Source: RefSeq, a predicted model, not a curated record
AGCAAAAUGUUAACUGGUUAAUCUAGGUGAGGGGCACAUGGGUGAUGAAUGGGCUAAUUUGCAACCUUUUCUGAAGGCUCGAACUUCAAAAUAAAGGGAGACAGUGGGUAAACAGCCUCUGAAAUUUAGGAAGCGCCCCUUUCCUGACCUCAUUCUCAAUUCUCUUCGGUUAAGCCUCUGAGAUUCUUGGUUUUUCUCACGACUCUCCCACACGGUAUUUAUUCGCGGUGCUAAGUGAAGGACUGAAUACCAGCAACUACGCCGAGAGCUGGUUAUUAUCACCCUGAUUUUUCCAUCUAGGAAAAUGAGUUCGGGGAGAGUCAACACAACACUCUGUGCGGAGUCGAGAUUCGAACCCACAUCCGAUGGGUUCCGGGGCCGUCUCCUCCCCCGCAGGAUGGACCCACCGAUUCGAGGAGCCAACAUUUUUAGAGCUCGUGCUGCGUGCCUCAGAACAACCCUGUCCGAGGAGACUGAGCCUGUCACAAAGCCAGAGGGGCCUCCGCCGCCGGACUCCCGGUGCACGGCAGGUAUCUUCCCCGAAUCUUCCCUCUCACUCAGCCACCCCAAGCUCCGACCCGCUAAACCUAGGAAACCGUCUCCCAGCACCCCCCGCGGCAGCCGGGUCGGCUCAUGCGCAGGCGCCAGAGGCCGGAGGCGGCCGAGCUCGACUUCCGACCUGGGGCCUCGGUAGGAAGACGAGGCUGGGCUGAGGCGGCGCCUUUUUCCCCGCAGAAUCUCGACGCCGUCCUUCCCCAGCCCCGCCAGGACCCCAUUCUCCUGUACCUGUCGGACACACGCCGAGCUUCUGUUAACCCUUUGGACGUGAUUUCACACAGGGAAGAGAUGCUGCACACCCACCAUUCAGACACAGUAGCUGGAGAUAACCAAGAACAGAUGAUAGAAAGAUGUGCAACACAGUAGCAUAAUUAAGAAUGGUAAAGAAUCUGCCUGCCAAUGCAGACAUGGCUUCAAGACCUGAUCUGGGAAGAGUCCACACACCAUGGGGCACCUAAGCCCGUGCACAACUACUGAGCCCAUGAGCCACAGCUACUGAAGCCUGCGUGCCCUGGAGCCCGUCCACAGCAAGAGAAGCCAGCUGCAACCAUAAGAAAGCCCUUGUGCAGCAACAGAGACCCAGC